GACGAACGCCGUUGGCGUGCUUAACACAUGCAAGUCGAACGGAAAGGCCCUGCUUUUGUGGGGUGCUCGAGUGGCGAACGGGUGAGUAACACGUGAGUAACCUGCCCUUGACUUUGGGAUAACUUCAGGAAACUGGGGCUAAUACCGGAUAGGAGCUCCUGCUGCAUGGUGGGGGUUGGAAAGUUUCGGCGGUUGGGGAUGGACUCGCGGCUUAUCAGCUUGUUGGUGGGGUAGUGGCUUACCAAGGCUUUGACGGGUAGCCGGCCUGAGAGGGUGACCGGCCACAUUGGGACUGAGAUACGGCCCAGACUCCUACGGGAGGCAGCAGUGGGGAAUAUUGCACAAUGGGCGGAAGCCUGAUGCAGCAACGCCGCGUGCGGGAUGACGGCCUUCGGGUUGUAAACCGCUUUCGCCUGUGACGAAGCGUGAGUGACGGUAAUGGGUAAAGAAGCACCGGCUAACUACGUGCCAGCAGCCGCGGUGAUACGUAGGGUGCGAGCGUUGUCCGGAUUUAUUGGGCGUAAAGGGCUCGUAGGUGGUUGAUCGCGUCGGAAGUGUAAUCUUGGGGCUUAACCCUGAGCGUGCUUUCGAUACGGGUUGACUUGAGGAAGGUAGGGGAGAAUGGAAUUCCUGGUGGAGCGGUGGAAUGCGCAGAUAUCAGGAGGAACACCAGUGGCGAAGGCGGUUCUCUGGGCCUUUCCUGACGCUGAGGAGCGAAAGCGUGGGGAGCGAACAGGCUUAGAUACCCUGGUAGUCCACGCUGUAAACGGUGGGUACUAGGUGUGGGGUCCAUUCCACGGGUUCCGUGCCGUAGCUAACGCUUUAAGUACCCCGCCUGGGGAGUACGGCCGGCAAGGCUAAAACUCAAAGGAAUUGACGGGGCCCCGCACAAGCGGCGGAGCAUGCGGAUUAAUUCGAUGCAACGCGUAGAACCUUACCUGGGUUUGACAUGGAUCGGGAGUGCUCAGAGAUGGGUGUGCCUCUUUUGGGGUCGGUUCACAGGUGGUGCAUGGCUGUCGUCAGCUCGUGUCGUGAGAUGUUGGGUUAAGUCCCGCAACGAGCGCAACCCUUGUUCACUGUUGCCAGCACGUUAUGGUGGGGACUCAGUGGAGACCGCCGGGGUCAACUCGGAGGAAGGUGGGGAUGACGUCAAGUCAUCAUGCCCCUUAUGUCCAGGGCUUCACGCAUGCUACAAUGGCUGGUACAGAGAGUGGCGAGCCUGUGAGGGUGAGCGAAUCUCGGAAAGCCGGUCUCAGUUCGGAUUGGGGUCUGCAACUCGACCUCAUGAAGUCGGAGUCGCUAGUAAUCGCAGAUCAGCAACGCUGCGGUGAAUACGUUCCCGGGGCU
This 1347-nucleotide ribosomal RNA is filed under the name uncultured bacterium. RNAcentral describes it as "partial 16S ribosomal RNA". It matches the Rfam family "Bacterial small subunit ribosomal RNA", at positions 28 to 1381 of the family's 1533-position model. The record is from RNAcentral.